Molecule: long non-coding RNA, 1981 nt
Organism: Synchiropus splendidus (mandarinfish)
Lineage: Eukaryota; Metazoa; Chordata; Actinopteri; Syngnathiformes; Callionymidae
Exons: 4
Source: RefSeq, a predicted model, not a curated record
UGGAGCCCACGGUGUAGAACACCAUCGGGAACCAGCAGAUGGCCUCCAGGAAGUCGGCUUCAGGUCUGAGCGGGGAGAAGAAAAGCCAAAGUCAGAUUCGUAUUGGAUUAAUGAUGAAGCGGUGACGUCCUCACACAGACAGAGACGCUCACUCAACCCAAGAAAUACGACCCGGCUGAACCUGCCUGCAGAGAAAGCUGAAAAUAACGACACUACUCUGGAGUGACUCAGCGUUUUAUGGACUUUUUUUUUAUUGGAUUCCUCUUUCAUUCGGCUGACUGCUUUGUGUACCGGCCACAAAACACGACACGGGAUUGUGCUGCACAUUGUCCGGUCUGUGACCUCCCUUCCACCGCCCCGGUCCAGAACAUCAGUGAAUAACAUGAAGCCUCAGACUUCCUCGUGUCAUCUACGAACUACAAGCUGCGAUUGUUCGGCUAUCGGCGGCUGGCUUCCGCAGUCUUGGGCAGAAGAUCAUAUCAGCCGGAUGUGACAUCAUCACCUGGCGCAUACCACAUGCCAACACAUUUGGUGGGAACUUGUGACAUCAUAUUGGGACGGAAAAAAAUACUUCAUGUUACUGACCACAAUUCUAGUUUGUAGUUAAUAUCCUUCAACUACCGCAGACAACCCAAAAAGCAUCGGAUUUAAAUGAUGAAUCACAGAAUAUAAAUGUAGUUUAACUAAGUUUUACUGCACGUAGUUUAAAAUACAGAAUGAUAUGCUGGAUUUGACAUGCCUGUUGUAAGACAUAGAAAACCAAAGAUUUUUCCCUUCACAAGUAUUGCCCAGUUACUGUUCCCUCUCUUGUUCGGGAAGAUCUAUCGGUUCAAUCAUGCAGCAUCUGGCUGAACUACGCAGCAACCAGAGGGUCGUUUUUGCUCGUGAUAUGCUUUUGUUGGCUUUUAUCAAACAACAAUUCCCAGUCGUCUCAGGGGCUCAACAAAACUUUAUAAACAGCUUGACACAGGAGCUCAACAAGAAAUUAGAAAUGUAAAACAUUUCCGACCGGAGCCAGGAGAGCGGAUUUGCAUUCCAAAAUUUGCAUGUUUCCAGAGACUUAAAGAAGAGAAACAGGCGCCGUCUGACAGACAAGGGGGGGUCUGUGGAGGAGGAUCCCCGAGUGAGAGCUGACCGAGAUUGUCCUGCUGCUUCCAGCCAUGUCUUCGCAAUGUAAUGACACAGAAGCGACCGUAAUGACAGUGGCUGUGACUUCAAUCUGUGAAAGUACGGCGCCGCAGUGGCACGGCGCUGCGUGAAAAGCUGCGUCUCAAGAAUCGAAAAAAAAAAAUGCUCUACUUAUAAAAUGUGAAGCGAACGCAGCGAAAUCAUGUUUUGAUCCAGAGAGACAAGUUGAUAUUACCUUUGGAUUUUUAGUGGCAUUUGAUAUGCAAAGCUUUGAUUUACAACAGGAAACAAAAGAGCUCUUUUGCGAGGCAUGAAGUGCAUUAGUUGUUUUUGAUGUUUAUAUCAAGGUUACAAGUCUUUGUCGGCUGCCAGGAUACUGUGAUUUGUUUGAUCCGGCUUUGAAUCUUCUGUCUUUGAAUUCUGACGACAAAUGUUAUUAGAACACAAACUACACAUUGUGAUAAAAGGAUCUGAAUUAUUUAGGAGUUAUUACCUUCCAUUUUGCUGCGCUUAUCCAAGAUUGUUGGUCUAAAGAGGCCCGAACUUCCUCCCAGUUCGACGUGCCAGGAACAGCUCAGCAGGGAGGCAUCCUGAGUGGAUGAGGCCACCUUAACCUGGCUUCCCUCUAAGCCUCUCUUGAGUUCCAUCACUCGUGAAUGAGACCUCAGGAUACUCAAACUCUGGUGGGAAAUGCUGGCCCUCAUGCAGUCACUGUCAAACUAAGCAUGUAAAAGUUUUUGUUGUGAUGUUACAUCUGUGGUGAUUUAAUUUCAUUACUACUAUGUUUAUUUAUUUUUUUUAAUGUUUAAAUUUCAUUUUUUUAAAUGUAUUUUCAGAAUGACUAAAAACUAUA